RNAcentral lists this ribosomal RNA (253 nucleotides) under uncultured bacterium. RNAcentral describes it as "partial 16S ribosomal RNA". It matches the Rfam family "Bacterial small subunit ribosomal RNA", at positions 524 to 776 of the family's 1533-position model. The record is from RNAcentral.
UACGUAGGGGGCAAGCGUUGUCCGGAUUUAUUGGGCGUAAAGAGCGUGUAGGCGGCCAGGUAGGUCCGUUGUGAAAACUCGAGGCUCAACCUCGAGACGUCGAUGGAAACCAUCUGGCUAGAGUCCGGAAGAGGAGAGUGGAAUUCCUGGUGUAGCGGUGAAAUGCGCAGAUAUCAGGAGGAACACCGAUUGCGAAGGCAGCUCGCUGGGACGUGACUGACGCUGAGACGCGAAAGCGUGGGGAGCAAACAGG